Molecule: long non-coding RNA, 1623 nt
Organism: Tyto alba (common barn owl)
Lineage: Eukaryota; Metazoa; Chordata; Aves; Strigiformes; Tytonidae
Exons: 4
Source: RefSeq, a predicted model, not a curated record
CAGGGAACACUAAGCCCACCUCAGACCAGGACCCUGAGUAUUAUGUAGAUGCCAAAAUGCUGAGCUCUAGAUGCCUGCCCCCUUGGUGAGAUCCACAGCCCUGAGUGAGGAGCCUCAGAAUGGCAGCCAGAAAAGGCAACAUGCUGGGAGGAAGCCGCUUAAAGCAGCCACUGCUAAGGAGAAGGGUGUGCCUUCAGCCGUAGCCCUCUCCAGGCUCCUUGCUUCAGCACUAGUGGCUCAUUUCUCUUUCCAUGUUGGAUUCGGUGUCUGGAGCACUCUUUUAAAGCAGGCAAAGGAGAAAGCCUGAAAAGAAGUAAACAUGUGAUUCCUUUCCGGGAUUUGAAACCAUCAGAGAAGAAACCUCUAAUUUAACUGGGAUACCAAGAGACUGGUUUAGUCACCUUCUGAUCAGCCAGUCAUUCUGUACGUCAAUGCCAUCUUCCUGCAGCAAAAUAAAAAGCUUAAAUAUGCAACUGUUCCAUAACUGAGGCAGAGAAGUUAAAAGAACUCCAGAGAAAUGCAAUUAUCAGUACAGGAAUGAAACAUGAAAUGUCUUUUCACAACAGUCACUGGAAUCACCAACUUUGCUGCAGACCACAAGUAUAUUUUAAACCCUAGAUUAGUGUAUACCCACAGUAUGUCCCCUACAGCUGUGAACUGCUACUCUUUGUUUAGGACUGGGCAAACCUCCAGUAGCUAUGUUCUUACAAGGAAUGCAUUUUCCAGUGUUUUGAUUUAAUGACUAUUAUUCAAGCUGAAGUCAGUUCCUUUCUCACACUAUUUUAGGCUGUGUGUGGUAAACCUUUGUGCCACUGUUCUCCUCAAAAAAUUCUGGUAUUUUCUUUUUGUGCUAAAACCAAUACAAAUUAUACCAAGCCCUGUAUCUUAUGAAAUAAAUGUUGGUCAUCUUCAUAAUGAAUAAAUCCUAAAUUUAAAUGAAUCUUGCAGUUUGGUAUUUCUGCUGGCCUACUAACCUUCCUUUUUAUUGCUGCUGUUCGAUGCAAUAGUGUCAGGAAGUUCCUGUUACGUGUUUGGUGAUGUACAAAUAGAGAACAAAAGGUGCCUGUCCUGAAGGCUGAAAGUUUAGAAGUUUCUAUUGAUUGAAUAAAUAUUGGACAUUUGCCUGUUCUUACCAGAAGGUAAUACAUUAAGGCAACUGUUACCUGGACAGAUAAACAGUGAAUUCUGAGGAUGGCAAAGAAUUAAGUAUGGAGAGAGACUGGCUGUAAUGGAAGGGUAAUGGGGGGAGGCAAGUGUGUGACACUAAUGUUCUUUCUCUCUCCCUUUGUUUUUAUUUCAGCAUGAUACUUUAUUAAUCAAACUAAACAGAACUAAUAUGUGUGUUUUCCAGCAUUUAUUCUAUCCCUGUGUACCUCUGAGAUAGUUUCACAUCCUUGUUCUCAGGGUGAGGAGUGGAUGCUGGGAGGCUGCAGUCUUGGUGCUACAGGACUCUUGGACCAUCUUGUCUUUCUCACUUGCUUCCAGGGCCUUACCCAAAGCCUGUCUCAUGUAGUGAGAAACCCUUCAGGAAAGUGUUUGCCUUACUUAAUGGGCCAGAUCUACCACUGCAGUUCUCAAGACCUGCAUGCUAAUCUUUCAGUCCUUAUUCUUCAUUUAGAGUGG